RNAcentral lists this ribosomal RNA (465 nucleotides) under Vreelandella stevensii. RNAcentral describes it as "partial 16S ribosomal RNA". It matches the Rfam family "Bacterial small subunit ribosomal RNA", at positions 338 to 795 of the family's 1533-position model. Lineage: Bacteria; Pseudomonadati; Pseudomonadota; Gammaproteobacteria; Oceanospirillales; Halomonadaceae. The record is from RNAcentral.
CCUACGGGAGGCAGCAGUGGGGAAUAUUGGACAAUGGGGGGAACCCUGAUCCAGCCAUGCCGCGUGUGUGAAGAAGGCCCUCGGGUUGUAAAGCACUUUCAGUGAGGAAGAACGCCUGGUGGUUAAUACCCAUCAGGAAAGACAUCACUCACAGAAGAAGCACCGGCUAACUCCGUGCCAGCAGCCGCGGUAAUACGGAGGGUGCGAGCGUUAAUCGGAAUUACUGGGCGUAAAGCGCGCGUAGGUGGCUUGAUAAGCUGGUUGUGAAAGCCCCGGGCUCAACCUGGGAACGGCAUCCGGAACUGUCAAGCUAGAGUGCAGGAGAGGAAGGUAGAAUUCCCGGUGUAGCGGUGAAAUGCGUAGAGAUCGGGAGGAAUACCAGUGGCGAAGGCGGCCUUCUGGACUGACACUGACACUGAGGUGCGAAAGCGUGGGUAGCAAACAGGAUUAGAUACCCUAGUAGUC